ACCCAGAUGAUGAGUCCCAAAAUAGGACAAAAUACACGUCCUGGAU
RNAcentral lists this non-coding RNA (46 nucleotides) under Schistosoma curassoni. The record is from RNAcentral. Lineage: Eukaryota; Metazoa; Platyhelminthes; Trematoda; Strigeidida; Schistosomatidae.